Molecule: ribosomal RNA, 789 nt
Filed under: uncultured euryarchaeote
Lineage: Archaea; Methanobacteriati; Methanobacteriota
Description: bacterial SSU rRNA
Rfam family: Archaeal small subunit ribosomal RNA
Source: RNAcentral
AGGGGUCAAGCCCUCGGCAUACUGCUCAGUAACACGUGGACAACCUGCCCUAAGGUGAGGGAUAACUCCGGGAAACUGGAGAUAAUACCUCACAGUUUACCAUCGCUGGAAUGCCUGGUAAGCAAAAGGUCCGCCGCCUUAGGAUGGGUCUGCGGCCGAUUAGGUAGUUGUUGGGGUAACGGCCCAACAAGCCUGUAAUCGGUACGGGUUGUGGGAGCAAGAGCCCGGAGAUGGAUUCUGAGACACGAAUCCAGGCCCUACGGGGCGCAGCAGGCGCGAAAACUUUACAAUGCAGGCAACUGUGAUAAGGGAACCCCGAGUGCCCGUAUGGACGGGCUGUUCAGGUGCUUAAAAACCACCUGGAGAAAGGGCCGGGCAAGACCGGUGCCAGCCGCCGCGGUAAUACCGGCGGCUCGAGUGGUGGCCACUAUUACUGGGCUUAAAGCGUCCGUAGCUUGGUCGUUAAGCCUCUGGGGAAAUCUUCCGGCUCAACCGGAAGGCGUCUCAGGGGAACUGGCGACCUAGGGAUCGGGAGAGGUGAGAGGUACUCUGGGGGUAGGAGUGAAAUCCUGUAAUCCUCAGGGGACCACCUGUGGCGAAGGCGUCUCACCAGAACGACUCCGACAGUGAGGGACGAAAGCUGGGGGAGCAAACCGGAUUAGAUACCCGGGUAGUCCCAGCCGUAAACGAUGCGCGUUAGGUGUAUCGGUGACCACGAGUUACCGAGGUGCCGAAGGGAAACCGUGAAACGCGCCGCCUGGGAAGUACGGUCGCAAGGCUGAAACUUAA